GGAACUUUAAGUUUUCCAACAUGGGAGCGUCAUCAUGGCCGAGGACUUUGCUGAGGGUUUCUUUUACUUUAAGAGUGAGAGAAAAGCAAGACGGUGACGGAACAACGACGUUUACAUCUUCGAUACGCUUCAAGAUGGCUUCUCCCGUAGACGGCUCUCUGGUCUUCACGUUGGUUUAUCCGUUUUAACAACGAAUGCAGUCUUCACAGGCGAAACCUAGGACUCAAACCAAGACAUUCGAGGUCUGAUCCAUGGAGACCCCACCUUGCAACGUACAGGACCUAAAGGAUCUGCUGCUAACGUCUUGGUGCCAGAUACCGCAGCACACCCUCAGAGGUCUUGUGGAGUCCAUGCCUCGACGGGUCAGAGCUGUUUUGUUGGAACAAGGAGGACCUACACACUAUUACGCAGGUGGUUUUAACGGUCCUCUGUGCUGAUGACUCGACUCAGUGGCCUGUUUCAGGUUUGAUGUGAUGUCUGGUUGUCGCUCGCUCAGUGUGUUGGAGCAGAGUAACUGUGUGAGUGGAAAGCUGAUGAACCGAACAUGAGGUGGAAGUGCGAAGCCAUUAUUAAUGACACCUAUUUCCC
Ictalurus punctatus (channel catfish) is the source of this 588-nucleotide long non-coding RNA. Lineage: Eukaryota; Metazoa; Chordata; Actinopteri; Siluriformes; Ictaluridae. The record is from Ensembl.